RNAcentral lists this long non-coding RNA (1009 nucleotides) under Dromaius novaehollandiae (emu). Its description in RNAcentral is "lncRNA (ENSDNVG00000007670.1)". The record is from RNAcentral. Lineage: Eukaryota; Metazoa; Chordata; Aves; Casuariiformes; Dromaiidae.
CUAUCACAUAUGGAAGCCAAAAAAGCAAAAUUUUCCUUUGAAGGGUAGAUGUGGCAAAGCCAAGGACUUUGCCGUAGAGAGAAAUUCUGCCAGCGUCCCAGGUCAAAACAAAAAUUCAACAACACACCCUUUCUAGGGCGGCUAGGUUUAUUAUACUGAUUCAACCAAAAGAACACACCCCAAAAAGUUCAUACAAACACAAUCCUCAUACAUCUAGRUACCUAGCUUCAAAAAGAAAGCAAAAGCACAAAACAAAACCAUUUCUGUUUCUGAUGCCUCUAAGACUUACUUGAUCUGGCUACUGCAGAACAAAUAGCCUUUCUCACAAAAAGUGAAGUCCUACUUAAGGCUUUGAGCAUAAAUGUGCCCCACUUGUAUCUAAUUAAUUCUUCCCAAGAAGGUUCUUCCAGCUGCCACUCCAAAAAAACCUGCUGGAUCUAACUCAAAACAUGUACACCUUCACGUUUUCUUGUUUGGUGAGAUCUAUACCUCCCUUUCCCCUGACGUACAGGCUUACAGCAACAAUGAAGAUGUUCAUCAUGAUUGCAGGGGGCAUGGAAAAACAGCACUACAUGGGAUUAAAGAAGGAACUGCAGGCAAAUACAGAACUCGCAAGGACAUCCUAAGCCUUUAGGCUAAUGCCCCCAGCGCUCAGGAGGUCAGGGCACAUCGUCUCGUUUAUACGCUGAACCGACACCCGUUUUAAAUCCAGGCAGGUUUGAGUUUAGACGUGUGCAUGUGUAUAGUGAGCAUCAAAAACAUGCCUCUAACAUGCCUAUUUUGAAAAGCUCAGUGUUUAUCUGAUAGAAAUUUGUUUCCUAAUUUUCAUUUGUUUCCUAAUUUUCAGCUUCAAAGAAUUUAAGGUAUUUAAAGAGAGCCAACUUUAGUCUCCUCUUGUGAAACAGGCUUUCUAAUCUCCCAUUUAUACCUUUCCACAAGAGUUUCAAUUUGAUACGUUAAGUUGUAUUCAAAUGAGAUUUGAUCAGUAUGUUUUACAAUGACAUCUACC